Molecule: long non-coding RNA, 1629 nt
Organism: Eupeodes corollae
Lineage: Eukaryota; Metazoa; Arthropoda; Insecta; Diptera; Syrphidae
Exons: 3
Source: RefSeq, a predicted model, not a curated record
AUAGAUUUAUUGCUUAAUCCUGAGACAUUUUAGGAUAAAAUUUUAAAUUCUUUUUUAUAUAAACAACUUAUAUUCUUAACAACAGUUUGGGGGCAGACCGCAUUCCAAUUAAAUGAUUUGUUGAGGCGGUGGGGUAACGUAACGUAACGUGUUCAUAUUAGUCACCACUGAAUUUUGGAUACAACCAGGAACGCUAUUUGCCGUACUGUCAUCAAUCAGCUGCUGCAAUAAUGACAAUCCACAUUCGCAGUCGCAUUGUAAAUUCAAAUUGCUGUCAAAAUAAAACUAUUUUUCAUUUACGAACAAAAUUAAACAACAAAUUGCUGUUUUUAGGGAUUUGUUUUUAAUAUGUAUAUCGGAUUUCAACUCUUGCAAUCGCCUCCUUCUUGCUCUAGAUGCAGCUGGGUAGUCUAGAAGUAUGGAAAUUCAAGUGUCUUUUAGCUUAGAGAUCCUGUUAAAAUACGCCCAUCAUCCUCCCUUUUUGAUAGCUUCAUAAAUAAGUUGGUUCUUUGGUUGUUGUUUGAACGAAGUGCACGCACUGAUGAUAUUGUGCCUAUAUCUGAUGAUUGCAGCAGAACCAUACAAAGGCUUCUAGCUUGCCCUGUAGCAUUUUCUCCUUCUACCGUCGGCAUUUGAAUCAUAAUAUUUUGUUCAUUAGCUUUAAUCUCCAAGAAUUCAACUUGCCGUUCCAAAGCAUUACAUCGGUUUUCAACUGUCUUCAACUGCACCUUAAGUUCUUGGUUGUUUUCUUGCAGCAAAUGAAGCCUAGCACUUACCUCUAUAUCUGCUUUCUUAGGUAGAUCCUUCAGUUUUUCAUCCAAUAUGGAGACAUAGCUCUUUGAAUGAUAUGUUCAAGAUCUAAAACAGACAUAUUUCCUACAGCUACUCCCUAGUUCGAAGAUGAUGCAUUUUUGUGGCGAUCCUCCGGAGACAGAUCAAUUAGUUUUCAUUUACUUUGUUGUUCCAUAUAGUUGUCAUUGUCUUUUACCGGUGUUCUUUGCAUAUUAAUGGCAGAUUGUUUAAGACUCAUCUAGUGUUCUUUUUUUUUGUGAUGUUUGAAAUUUUAGAUAGCUAUUUUAACACGUUUGCGAUGGUUUCUUUUUAAUUAUUUAUUAUAUUAAUUUAGAAAAAAAAAAACUUUUAAAUUAAGGAGCUCAAAAUAAACACAACUUUCACUUGUAUAGCUAAGGUAAAUAAAAAUAUAAAAACUUUAAACCAGUAUGACCACAAAAAAUCAAAUUGAAAACAAUAGAGGAAAUAUAAUAUCUAGUGUCACGACCGGUACCUGAAACACUCUCAAUUUCGAUUCAAAUUCGUUAUAGUUGAAUACAUAAGAGUGUUGAAAAAAGAGAAUUUUUUAAAACAAAACAAUAUGUUUCGAAUGUUAAGAGUAGGUUUUUUGUCAUAUGUUAUUUUUUAUAGAAAACCCUUAUAAUCAAGAGAGUACAAGUACACCUCAAUUAAGAAAAAUCUGUGUUUUAUUUUAAAUGGUGCCAACUUCCCUCAAGAAAUCUGGAAGAUAAAGCAGACAAAGCGCUGAUUUACAGCAACAGACGCUGUAUAAUAGUUUUUGUUGGAAUCAUAAGACUAUAUUUCUAAACAAUUUGUGUGGAUUGUGGACAUAAAGGU